RNAcentral lists this ribosomal RNA (445 nucleotides) under uncultured bacterium. RNAcentral's name for it is "partial 16S ribosomal RNA". It matches the Rfam family "Bacterial small subunit ribosomal RNA", at positions 354 to 796 of the family's 1533-position model. The record is from RNAcentral.
GUAGGGAAUAUUGGGCAAUGGAUGCAAGUCUGACCCAGCCAUGCCGCGUGGAGGAAGAAGGUCCUCUGGAUUGUAAACUCCUUUUUUGGGGGAAGAAUAGUUCUCUUGCGAGGGAAUGUGACGGUACCCUAAGAAUAAGCCACGGCUAACUACGUGCCAGCAGCCGCGGUAAUACGUAGGUGGCAAGCGUUGUCCGGAUUUAUUGGGUUUAAAGGGUGCGUAGGUGGUUUGAUAAGUCAGUGGUGAAAGCUGGUUGCUCAACAAUCAAGUUGCCAUUGAUACUGUCGGACUUUAGAGAAGUGGAGGUUCAUGGAAUGGAUGGUGUAGCGGUGAAAUGCAUAGAUAUCAUCCAGAACGUCGAUUGCGAAGGCAGUGGGCUGUACUUUAUCUGACACUGAGGCACGAAAGUGUGGGGAUCAAACAGGAUUAGAAACCCUAGUAGUCC